RNAcentral lists this ribosomal RNA (492 nucleotides) under uncultured bacterium. Its description in RNAcentral is "bacterial SSU rRNA". It matches the Rfam family "Bacterial small subunit ribosomal RNA", at positions 28 to 507 of the family's 1533-position model. The record is from RNAcentral.
GAUGAACGCUAGCUACAGGCUUAACACAUGCAAGUCGAGGGGAAACGACAUCGAAAGCUUGCUUUUGGUGGGCGUCGACCGGCGCACGGGUGAGUAACGCGUAUCCAACCUGCCCACCACUUGGGGAUAACCUUGCGAAAGUAAGACUAAUACCCAAUGAUAUCCCACGAAGGCAUCCGAAUGGGAUUAAAGAUUUAUCGGUGAUGGAUGGGGAUGCGUCUGAUUAGCUUGUUGGCGGGGUAACGGCCCACCAAGGCGACGAUCAGUAGGGGUUCUGAGAGGAAGGUCCCCUACAUUGGAACUGAGACACGGUCCAAACUCCUACGGGAGGCAGCAGUGAGGAAUAUUGGUCAAUGGACGAGAGUCUGAACCAGCCAAGUAGCGUGCAGGAUGACGGCCCUAUGGGUUGUAAACUGCUUUUAUAAGGGGAUAAAGUGAGCCACGUGUGGCUUAUUGCAGGUACCAUAUGAAUAAGGACCGGCUAAUUCCGUG